RNAcentral lists this long non-coding RNA (934 nucleotides) under Gorilla gorilla gorilla (western lowland gorilla). RNAcentral's name for it is "lncRNA (ENSGGOG00000044342.1)". The record is from RNAcentral. Lineage: Eukaryota; Metazoa; Chordata; Mammalia; Primates; Hominidae.
CUGUGGAUUAGCGGAGAGGGAAGGCACUUUCGUUCUCGGCACCGUGAGGCUGUCCUGGUCAAUCCUGUUUUCAUGCUUGAGGGUCUCUGGUGCAGCAGCUCCACCAGCCUUGACACCAGGACUUCUGUGGAAUCCAGGCGUCUUCUUAAGGAAGGAAGCCUGAAGGCAGUGUCCGCGUGAACACGAGAGGCCUCAGAUCCAGCAGCACAAGCCGUGCAUGAAAACACCAAAAGACUCACUGCAGGGAGCAAAGGCAGCCAGGCCCUGCCAAACCAGAGGGGGCCCCGGCACCGGCGGCCACAGAGCGCUGGGGGAGGCAUCGCACCCGAGGGCGCACACGCAGGAAAACCGGGAUCCAGGACUUCUCGAUGACUGCACAAGUACAGGCGCUCCCACAGACACUGGUAAAGAUUUUCAGUUGGGGAACAGGAGUGUGAGGCUUGUUACCGCCUGCGACCUACGCCUGGCUGACUCCAGGGGAAACCGCAGGAGUCACUGCAGGGAGCCCCUGGUCCGCUCUCCUCCUCCUCCUCCACCCUCCUUCCUCUCCCUCUGGCCUCUCCCUGUGCCCCCCAAAGGUCAGAUCAGAUAUGGGGCCUCAGCGUCCUCGUGCCUCCUGAUGGCCGUCAGGCCUGACCAAGGGUCCAAGCUGCCCCUUCCCGGUGGCCAGCCACGGUGGAAUCACACAGGGCCAGUGGCCUGAGAGAAAGAGACCAGCAGGAAGGAAAGAUCCUCAGCAACAAAGUAAAACCAGAACAACAGAGGACCUUUCUGUGUAAGAAUAUUUGGCUUUAGAAGGUAAAUAAAAUAAUUAUAUUUCUUAGAAUUUUCUGACUGACAUCCCUAAAUCCUGCAGGUAAAUUAUUCCCAACAAAUUUUCAAAAGGCAAUCAAUAAUAAGUAGAUUCUUCUUCAAUAAUAUGAGCAUAUGCUUC